GAUGAACGCUGGCGGCGUGCCUAACACAUGCAAGUCGAACGGAGUCCCGCCUUAGAUUCCGUCGGGUGAGAGUGGGGAGGACUGGGUGGCGGACGGGUUAGUAACACUUCCCCAACCUGGCUCAUAGCGGGGUGUAACAGAGACUAAUACCUGCUAUUACCGCAUAGGCACACACUGCCUCAUGGCAGGGUGUUGUAAGAGAAUCGCUAUGAGGCGGGCCCGCGUCUGAUUAGAGUGGUGGCAGGGUAAGAGCCUACCGAGGCGAGGAUCAGUAGCCGACUGGAGAGGAUGAACGGCCACAACGGGAAUGAGAGACGGCCGAGAGUACUACGGGAGGAAGGAGUGGGGGAUAUUGCAGAAUGGGGGGAAGACUGAUGGAGCCACGCGGCGUGAGUGAAGAAGUAGCUAGGGAUGUAAAGCUCUAUCAGCAGGGAAGAUAAUGACAGUACCUGAAUAAGAAGCGCCGGCUAACUACGUG
Molecule: ribosomal RNA, 478 nt
Filed under: uncultured bacterium
Lineage: Bacteria
Description: partial 16S ribosomal RNA
Rfam family: Bacterial small subunit ribosomal RNA
Source: RNAcentral